This is a non-coding RNA of Sturnus vulgaris (Common starling), 434 nucleotides long. The record is from RefSeq and is a predicted model, not a curated record. Lineage: Eukaryota; Metazoa; Chordata; Aves; Passeriformes; Sturnidae.
CCCUUCUUUCAAGGUGUCUGCCCACAAAACCUGCAAAUACCUUUUUCCUUCUCCCCCCUAUCCCAAGGAGUCUUGAAAUUAUCUUACAUCUCAAAAACAAAGGCUGAGCAAUGAUGUGUAAAGGGGUUUUUAAUCAGGCCGGCUGAAAAAUAUCUGCCACGAUCCCUCUGUGAAUCUGGUAAUUUCUCCUAUUUUAAGCAGGAAAACUUUGUGCCUCAGCACUGGAAGAGCAGUGUGUAGUGUCAGUUUGAUGCUACGUUUUGAAAUCCCACUGACUGAAAUGAAAAUUGCCAUUUGUGCUUUAGUCAGAAUUGGAUUCUUUGUGUAGUAAUGUCAAGUAUCUAGUGAAAAUUUGUAAAAGAUUGUACAGUGAAAGUGUCCUGGGCUCAGGUGUGUCCUUCCAGCAGGGACCUGUUUGGUGCAGCCAGGUGGGG